RNAcentral lists this ribosomal RNA (493 nucleotides) under uncultured bacterium. RNAcentral's name for it is "partial 16S ribosomal RNA". It matches the Rfam family "Bacterial small subunit ribosomal RNA", at positions 30 to 523 of the family's 1533-position model. The record is from RNAcentral.
AUUGAACGCUGGCGGCAUGCUUUACACAUGCAAGUCGAACGGUAACAGGUUAAGCUGACGAGUGGCGAACGGGUGAGUAAUGCAUCGGAACGUGCCCGGUCGUGGGGGAUAACGCAGCGAAAGUUGCGCUAAUACCGCAUACGGUCUGAGGAUGAAAGCGGGGGACCGUAAGGCCUCGCGCGAUCGGAGCGGCCGAUGUCAGAUUAGGUAGUUGGUGGGGUAAAGGCUCACCAAGCCAACGAUCUGUAGCUGGUCUGAGAGGACGACCAGCCACACUGGGACUGAGACACGGCCCAGACUCCUACGGGAGGCAGCAGUGGGGAAUUUUGGACAAUGGGCGAAAGCCUGAUCCAGCAAUGCCGCGUGUAGGAAGAAGGCCUUCGGGUUGUAAACUGCUUUUGUACGGAGCGAAAAGGUCUCCUCUAAUACAGGGGGCUCAUGACGGUACCGUAAGAAUAAGCACCGGCUAACUACGUGCCAGCCGCCGCGGUAA